Molecule: ribosomal RNA, 1745 nt
Filed under: Vibrio cholerae
Lineage: Bacteria; Pseudomonadati; Pseudomonadota; Gammaproteobacteria; Vibrionales; Vibrionaceae
Description: partial 23S ribosomal RNA
Rfam family: Bacterial large subunit ribosomal RNA
Source: RNAcentral
AUUGGGUAGGGGAGCGUUCUGUAAGCCGUUGAAGGUGAAUCGUAAGGUUUGCUGGAGGUAUCAGAAGUGCGAAUGCUGACAUGAGUAACGACAAAGGGGGUGAAAAACCUCCUCGCCGGAAGACCAAGGGUUCCUGUCCAACGUUAAUCGGGGCAGGGUGAGUCGACCCCUAAGGUGAGGCCGAAAGGCGUAAUCGAUGGGAAACGGGUUAAUAUUCCCGUACUUCUGACUAUUGCGAUGGGGGGACGGAGAAGGCUAGGUGGGCCAGGCGACGGUUGUCCUGGUUCAAGUGCGUAGGCUUGAGAGUUAGGUAAAUCCGGCUCUCUUUAAGGCUGAGACACGACGUCGAGCUACUACGGUAGUGAAGUCAUUGAUGCCAUGCUUCCAGGAAAAGCCUCUAAGCUUCAGAUAGUCAGGAAUCGUACCCCAAACCGACACAGGUGGUCGGGUAGAGAAUACCAAGGCGCUUGAGAGAACUCGGGUGAAGGAACUAGGCAAAAUGGUACCGUAACUUCGGGAGAAGGUACGCUCUUGAUGGUGAAGUCCCUCGCGGAUGGAGCUGACGAGAGUCGCAGAUACCAGGUGGCUGCAACUGUUUAUUAAAAACACAGCACUGUGCAAAAUCGCAAGAUGACGUAUACGGUGUGACGCCUGCCCGGUGCCGGAAGGUUAAUUGAUGGGGUUAGCGCAAGCGAAGCUCUUGAUCGAAGCCCCGGUAAACGGCGGCCGUAACUAUAACGGUCCUAAGGUAGCGAAAUUCCUUGUCGGGUAAGUUCCGACCUGCACGAAUGGCGUAAUGAUGGCCACGCUGUCUCCACCCGAGACUCAGUGAAAUUGAAAUCGCUGUGAAGAUGCAGUGUACCCGCGGCUAGACGGAAAGACCCCGUGAACCUUUACUACAGCUUGGCACUGAACAUUGAACCUACAUGUGUAGGAUAGGUGGGAGGCUAUGAAGACGUGACGCCAGUUGCGUUGGAGCCGUCCUUGAAAUACCACCCUUGUAUGUUUGAUGUUCUAACUUAGACCCAUUAUCUGGGUUGAGGACAGUGCCUGGUGGGUAGUUUGACUGGGGCGGUCUCCUCCCAAAGAGUAACGGAGGAGCACGAAGGUGGGCUAAUCACGGUUGGACAUCGUGAGGUUAGUGCAAUGGCAUAAGCCCGCUUAACUGCGAGAAUGACGGUUCGAGCAGGUGCGAAAGCAGGUCAUAGUGAUCCGGUGGUUCUGUAUGGAAGGGCCAUCGCUCAACGGAUAAAAGGUACUCCGGGGAUAACAGGCUGAUACCGCCCAAGAGUUCAUAUCGACGGCGGUGUUUGGCACCUCGAUGUCGGCUCAUCACAUCCUGGGGCUGAAGUCGGUCCCAAGGGUAUGGCUGUUCGCCAUUUAAAGUGGUACGCGAGCUGGGUUUAGAACGUCGUGAGACAGUUCGGUCCCUAUCUGCCGUGGGCGUUGGAAGAUUGAAGGGGGCUGCUCCUAGUACGAGAGGACCGGAGUGGACGAACCUCUGGUGUUCGGGUUGUGUCGCCAGACGCAUUGCCCGGUAGCUAAGUUCGGAAUUGAUAAGCGCUGAAAGCAUCUAAGCGCGAAGCGAGCCCUGAGAUGAGUCUUCCCUGAUACUUUAAGUAUCCUAAAGGGUUGUUCGAGACUAGAACGUUGAUAGGCAGGGUGUGUAAGCGUUGUGAGGCGUUGAGCUAACCUGUACUAAUUGCCCGUGAGGCUUAACCAUACAACACCCAAGGGGUUUUGUA